Hypanus sabinus (Atlantic stingray) is the source of this 1199-nucleotide long non-coding RNA. RefSeq lists it as uncharacterized. The transcript is spliced from 3 exons. The record is from RefSeq and is a predicted model, not a curated record. NCBI's taxonomy places the organism in Eukaryota, Metazoa, Chordata, Chondrichthyes, Myliobatiformes, Dasyatidae.
AGAGAAAUGCCCUCAGACGGACGAUUUUAAUCACAAUGUUCAUCAAUUUGUCUGUUUGUGUUUAGCCUGAACAAUAAUAAACUGGGGGAUUCAGGAGUGAAACUGGUGUCUGCGGCUCUGAGGAACCCGGAGUGUAAAAUACAGACACUGUGGCUGAGGGAUGUCGGUCUCACAGAUUCUGGUGCCGAGGAUCUCGUCUCCGCUCUCAGUACAAACCCAUCACUGACGGAGCUGGACCUGAGUGGUAAUAAACUGGGGGAUUCAGGAGUGAAACUGGUGUCUGCGGCUCUGAGGAACCCGGAGUGUAAAAUACAGAGACUGUGGCUGGGGGAUGUCGGUCUCACAGAUUCUGGUGCCGAGGAUCUCGUCUCCGCUCUCAGUACAAACCCAUCACUGACGGAUCUGGACCUGACAUUAAACUCUCUGACAGACCGAUCUGUCCCCGCUCUCCGCCGCCUCAUCCUGACCCUCCCGAGUCUGAAGUGGAUCUGGUGAGUGUUUGUGUUAAUGUUCAAUGUGAUAAAAUAUCAGCGGAUCCGCCGGUUUUCUGGUGAUAUUUGUCUGUGAGUGUUGUUGAAACAUUAACCCCGGUCCCCUGUUACUGACACUGUUGUGUGAUCUGUUUAUUUCAUCUUUAUUCUCCCAUCUGUUUCAGGCUGCGGGGGAAUCGGUUCAGUGAGACCGGGAUGAAGGAACUGAGAUCUCUACAGGAACCCAGACCCGGACUGAGAGUGGGUCUGUGAACAUCUGAAUGUGGGGAAUCGGUUCAGUGAGACCGGGAUGAAGGAACUGAGAUCUCUACAGGAACCCAGACCCGGACUGAGAGUGGAUCUGUGAACAUCUGAAUGUGGGGAAUCGGUUCAGUGAGACCGGGAUGAAGGAACUGAGAUCUCUACAGGAACCCAGACCCGGACUGAUGGUGGAUCUGUGAACAUCUGAAUGUGGUGAAUCGGUUCAGUGAGACCGGGAUGAAGGAACUGAGAUCUCUACAGGAACCCAGACCCGGACUGAUGGUGGAUCUGUGAACAUCUGAAUGUGGUGAAUCGGUUCAGUGAGACCGGGAUGAAGGAACUGAGAUCUCUACAGGAACCCAGACCCGGACUGAUGGUGGAUCUGAAUGUGUGAACAUCCCCGCCCGCGGGAUGGGGACAUUUGGCCGACUCCCCGCCCUCCCCUUUAACUCCCGCCCUUACCUUUAA